GACGAACGCUGGCGGCGUGCUUAACACAUGCAAGUCGAACGAUGAAGCCAGCUUGCUGGUGGAUUAGUGGCGAACGGGUGAGUAACACGUGGGUGAUCUGCCCCAAACUUUGGGAUAAGCCUGGGAAACUGGGUCUAAUACCGAAUAUGACCGAUACUCGCAUGGGUGUUGGUGGAAAGCUCCGGCGGUUUGGGAUGGGCCCCCGGCCUAUCAGCUUGUUGGUGGGGUAAUGGCCUACCAAGGCGACGACGGGUAGCCGGCCUGAGAGGGCGACCGGCCACACUGGGACUGAGACACGGCCCAGACUCCUACGGGAGGCAGCAGUGGGGAAUAUUGCACAAUGGGCGCAAGCCUGAUGCAGCGACGCCGCGUGAGGGAUGACGGCCUUCGGGUUGUAAACCUCUUUCACCAGGGACGAAGCGAAAGUGACGGUACCUGGAGAAGAAGCACCGGCCAACUACGUG
RNAcentral lists this ribosomal RNA (464 nucleotides) under uncultured bacterium. Its description in RNAcentral is "partial 16S ribosomal RNA". It matches the Rfam family "Bacterial small subunit ribosomal RNA", at positions 28 to 507 of the family's 1533-position model. The record is from RNAcentral.